RNAcentral lists this unclassified non-coding RNA (211 nucleotides) under plant metagenome. Its description in RNAcentral is "partial contains small subunit ribosomal RNA, internal transcribed spacer 1, and 5.8S ribosomal RNA". The record is from RNAcentral.
UUUCCGUAGGUGAACCUGCGGAAGGAUCAUUCAUAAUAAAGUGUUUUAUGGCACUUUUUAAAAAUCCAUAUCCACCUUGUGUGCAAUGUUAGAUCUCGUCAAUCUUGGCGAGAUUUGUAUACAUCAACUCAUUCUUUAACUAAUUUGUCUGAAAAAUAUUAUGAAUACUUAAUUCAAAAUACAACUUUCAACAACGGAUCUCUUGGCUCUC